GGGGUUAUAGCUCAGUUGGUAGAGCACCUGCAUGGCAUGCAGGGGGUCAGCGGUUCGAGCCCGCUUAACUCCA
This 73-nucleotide transfer RNA is filed under the name Acaryochloridaceae cyanobacterium SU_2_1. RNAcentral describes it as "tRNA-Ala". It matches the Rfam family "tRNA". Rfam says of the family: Transfer RNA (tRNA) molecules are approximately 80 nucleotides in length. Their secondary structure includes four short double-helical elements and three loops (D, anti-codon, and T loops). The record is from RNAcentral. Lineage: Bacteria; Bacillati; Cyanobacteriota; Cyanophyceae; Acaryochloridales; Acaryochloridaceae.